AUCGGAACGUGCCCAAUUGUGGGGGAUAACGUAGCGAAAGUUACGCUAAUACCGCAUACGAUCUAAGGAUGAAGCGGGGGGAUCGCAAGACCUCGCGCGAAUGGAGCGGCCGAUGUUAGAUUAGGUAGUUGGUGGGGUAAAGGCUCACCAAGCCGACGAUCUAUAGCUGGUCUGAGAGGAUGAUCAGCCACACUGGGACUGAGACACGGCCCAGACUCCUACGGGAGGCAGCAGUGGGGAAUUUUGGACAAUGGGCGCAAGCCUGAUCCUUUCAAGGGGCGUGCAGGAUGAAGGCCCUCGGGUUGU
This 306-nucleotide ribosomal RNA is filed under the name uncultured bacterium. Its description in RNAcentral is "bacterial SSU rRNA". It matches the Rfam family "Bacterial small subunit ribosomal RNA", at positions 117 to 426 of the family's 1533-position model. The record is from RNAcentral.